AGAGAUUUCAUUAUUACAUUAGAAAUUAAGAAUUUUUCAAUCUUAAAUGUGUGUUGCAUAUAGAAAAAGAUGUGGAGGAAGUAGCAUUUAAGAAGGUUGUGGGAGGGUUGUCUGAAGGUCUAAAAAAACAAGUAUGAUAAUUGUCUAAGAUUUCCUAAAAAUGACAACUCUAAUAUUUUAUUUUUUAAUUUGGAGUGAAUUAAUUACAUAUUAAUUAAUAUAAAUAAAUAUAAAUUACAUAAAAAAUUAAUUUUGAUUAAGGGUUUUUUUUUUUUAAGUUUGAAU
Molecule: long non-coding RNA, 285 nt
Filed under: Lathyrus oleraceus (garden pea)
Lineage: Eukaryota; Viridiplantae; Streptophyta; Magnoliopsida; Fabales; Fabaceae
Description: Pisum sativum (pea) long non-coding RNA (PSAT_LNC003162)
Source: RNAcentral